This 602-nucleotide ribosomal RNA is filed under the name Mycoplasma zalophi. RNAcentral's name for it is "bacterial SSU rRNA". It matches the Rfam family "Bacterial small subunit ribosomal RNA", at positions 1 to 600 of the family's 1533-position model. The record is from RNAcentral. Lineage: Bacteria; Bacillati; Mycoplasmatota; Mollicutes; Mycoplasmatales; Mycoplasmataceae.
AUUAUUAAGAGUUUGAUCCUGGCUCAGGAUGAACGCUGGCUGUGUGCCUAAUACAUGCAUGUCGAACGAGUAGCUUGCUACUAGUGGCGAAUGGGUGAGUAACACGUGCUUAAUCUGCCUUUUAGAUUGGGAUAACAAACGGAAACGUUUGCUAAUACCGGAUAUGUAAUAUAUUCGCAUGAAUUUAUUAUGAAAGGAGCUUUACGGCUUCACUAAAAGAUGAGGGCGCGGAACAUUAGUUAGUUGGUAGGGUAAUGGCCUACCAAGACUAUGAUGUUUAGCCGGGUUGAGAAACUGAACGGCCACACUGGGACUGAGAUACGGCCCAGACUCCUACGGGAGGCAGCAGUAGGGAAUAUUCCACAAUGGGCGAAAGCCUGAUGGAGCGACACAGCGUGCACGAUGAAGGCCUUCGGGUUGUAAAGUGCUGUUAUUGGGGAAGAACACUAAAAAGAGGAAAUGCUUUUUAGCUGACGGUACCCAAUCAGAAAGCGAUGGCUAACUAUGUGCCAGCAGCCGCGGUAAUACAUAGGUCGCAAGCGUUAUCCGGAAUUAUUGGGCGUAAAGCGUUCGUAGGUUGUUUGUUAAGUCUGGUGUCAAAG